UCGAAUAAAAUUAUAGAUAUAAAACUGAUUAUGACAAUUUCAUAUCUAAGUGUCUUGACUAAAUUACGUGCCAGCAGUCGCGGUAAUACGUAGUAGACUAGUGUUAUUCAUCUUUAUUAGGUUUAAAGGGUACCUAGACGGCAUUAUUAGCCUAUAUAAGGUACGGUAUUGCUAGAGUUUUAUUUAAGAAGGGGAGUAUUCAUGGAGUAGAGAUGAAAUUUAUUGAUACCAUGACGACUGAUAAUGGCGAAAGCAACCUUCUAUGUAAUAACUGACGUUGAGGGACGAAGGCUCGGGUAACGAACAGGAUUAGACACCCUAGUAGUCCAAGCAGAAAAUUAUGAAUGCCAUAUAUAAAUGAAAGUGUAAGCAUUCCACCUUAAGAGUAAUGCGGCAACGCAGACCUGAAAUCAUUAGACCGUUCUGAAACCAGU
This 434-nucleotide ribosomal RNA is filed under the name Mniaecia jungermanniae. RNAcentral's name for it is "SSU rRNA". It matches the Rfam family "Bacterial small subunit ribosomal RNA", at positions 440 to 930 of the family's 1533-position model. The record is from RNAcentral. Lineage: Eukaryota; Fungi; Ascomycota; Leotiomycetes; Leotiales; Mniaeciaceae.